UCUCCUGGAAAACGGGUGGUAAUGCCGGAUGCUCCAUCACACUGCAUGGUGUGUUGGGAAAGCCUUUGCGGCAUGGGAUGGGGUCGCGUCCUAUCAGCUUGAUGGCGGGGUAACGGCCCACCAUGGCUUCGACGGGUAGCCGGCCUGAGAGGGCGACCGGCCACAUUGGGACUGAGAUACGGCCCAGACUCCUACGGGAGGCAGCAGUGGGGAAUAUUGCACAAUGGGCGCAAGCCUGAUGCAGCGACGCCGCGUGAGGGAUGGAGGCCUUCGGGUUGUAAACCUCUUUUGUUAGGGAGCAAGGCAUUUUGUGUUGAGUGUACCUUUCGAAUAAGCACCGGCUAACUACGUGCCAGCAGCCGCGGUAAUACGUAGGGUGCAAGCGUUAUCCGGAAUUAUUGGGCGUAAAGGGCUCGUAGGCGGUUCGUCGCGUCCGGUGUGAAAGUCCAUCGCUUAACGGUGGAUCCGCGCCGGGUACGGGCGGGCUUGAGUGCGGUAGGGGAGACUGGAAUUCCCGGUGUAACGGUGGAAUGUGUAGAUAUC
RNAcentral lists this ribosomal RNA (543 nucleotides) under Bifidobacterium breve. RNAcentral's name for it is "bacterial SSU rRNA". It matches the Rfam family "Bacterial small subunit ribosomal RNA", at positions 146 to 698 of the family's 1533-position model. Lineage: Bacteria; Bacillati; Actinomycetota; Actinomycetes; Bifidobacteriales; Bifidobacteriaceae. The record is from RNAcentral.